Molecule: RNA transcript, 2399 nt
Organism: Megalops cyprinoides (Indo-Pacific tarpon)
Lineage: Eukaryota; Metazoa; Chordata; Actinopteri; Elopiformes; Megalopidae
Gene: ptcd1
Gene name: pentatricopeptide repeat domain 1
Exons: 9
Source: RefSeq, a predicted model, not a curated record
GAGGGUGGUUCGCUAUUGAUGUGACGAUUGGUGACCAUUUUCCUUGGAUGAUUUGUGUCCCGAUGAUCGGUGACAUUUCAGAACAUUGUUGACGAUGACGAAGUAUCUGUCUUUCAGAUGUUUCAUGAAUCGAUCAAAUGUGUUCGAUUGUGCUUUGAAACACUUAACUGUCUCCACAUCAUGGCGUAGUCUAGCCUACAAGAAUCCUUGGAGAAUAAUGUUUCCUAUGAAAAUGUCGCCUUCAAGGACAAUCACGUAUGCCCAAAGUGGUAGAUGUAGGACCACAUUCACAUCUAUGAAUACGCCCUAUCGUCCCAUUGUGCAACAAAUCAGAGUAUUAACAUCUGAAAUCCAAAAUAUGAGUAUAACUGAGAAUGAUGCUACUGCUACUGAAAAGGAGGAGGACUUUGGAACCUAUUCCCCACAUUUUACAUCCAGAAAGAAUUUUCGCAAAGCAUCACCGGAACUUCAGGAACUCAGUGAUCGUGAACGUUUUGGUGAGGAGGAAAAGGAAGAGCCGAAGGCAAGUCCAGGAAGAAGAAACACAACUUACUGGUACUUUCUUCAGUGCAAGAAACUGAUAAAACAGGACAAGCUGGCUGAAGCACUGGAGAUGUUUGAAACACAAAUGCUCAAGGUCGAGCGUCUGCAGCCAGAAGAAUACAACUAUACCAUACUGAUUGGAGGUUGUGGCCGUGUGGGUUACGUCAAAAAGGCCUUCAAACUCUACAAUGAUAUGAAGAAACGAGGCCUCAUCCCUACAGAUGCCACGUACACUGCUCUGUUCAAUGCCUGUGCCGAGUCACCCUGGAAGGAUUCAGGUUUGCAACAAGCCCUUAAACUCCAGCAAGAGCUAAAGAGGAAGAACAUCCAGCUCAGCCUCAUCACCUACCAUGCCCUUCUGAAGACACAUGCACUCUGCUCUGACCUCAGGGCCUGUUUCCAUGUGCUGCGGGAGGUGGUCCAGAAUGGUCAUGCAAUCACUCAGGAAACGUUCAACUUUCUCUUGAUGGGCUGCAUUAAAAAUAAAGAAGAAGGAUUCAGGUUUGUCUUGCAGGUUUGGCGUCAAAUGUUGAAGAUGGGGUUAAAGCCAAAUGGUCACAGUUAUAACUUGUUGCUGCGUGCAUCCCGGGAUUGUGGUAUUGGGGAUCCUGCUGUGUUCUCCUGUUUGCUACUGAGGGAUGAAGAGACAUUGCCCCCAAAACACACAAAAGCAAGAAAAGGUCAGAGAGCAAAUGAAAAAGAAAAGGGGCCAUUGGACAUGGUGAUUGAUGUAGAUGCCUUGGAAAGCAAACUCUUUCUGGACAAGAGCACAGAGGAGCAGAGUUUGGUUCCCUUACUGAACAAGGAAGAGGUACACAAGGAAUAUAAGGAAUUAGACACCGUGUCUCAUGUUGAGCAGAACAUCAGCCUUGACACGAUGUCAGGAUUAAAUGAUAAGAGAAUGGAAAGGAUGUUUCCAGCUGAAUCUAAUUCUCUCCAUACACCCGCAGCCAAUGUCACCUUACCCAACCUUCUCGAUUUGAGAAUAGAUAAGACCAAUGUUGUUUCCUUGGGGGCUGUGACUUGUGCCUCUGACAGACUGGCAUUGAUAGGAAACAUGGAGGGAUUUCUGAGCAAGAUGGAGGCCGAUGGUGUGAAACCCAGUGUCAAGACACUGACUUUGUUGGCUGACAUUAUAGAACCAGGGGGCCAGUCAGAAGUGAGCUUGUUCUCUGUUGCUGAACAGCAUAAACUGGAUCUAGACAUCUCCUUCUUCAAUACGCUUAUGCGAAAAAAGGCAAAAGCUGGAGACUACGACGGAGCAAGGGCUCUCUUGCCAGUAUUGGCAAAAAGGGGUUUGAACCCUAACCUUCACACAUACUGUAGCCUGGCUGUUGCAUGUAAGAGAGAGAAAGAUGGACUACAGCUCCUGUCUGAAAUGAAGGCCUCUGGUAUCACUCCCAAUGCCCACAUAUAUAGUGCCCUAAUCAGUAGAGCUUCCAAACAGCUGGACUACAAGUACCUGACAGAGAUCCUGAGAAGUAUGAAGCAAAACCAGGUACCUGCAACGGAGGUCAUCAUAAGGCAACUUGAGUUUGCUGCUCAGUACCCACCAAAUUUUGACAAGUACAAAGCAAAGAACAACUACUUGGACAAGAUUGACGGUUUCAGAGGCUAUUAUAAUCAUUGGCUGAAGUCUAUGCCAGGACAGGAGACUCUGCAUCCAUGGGAUAAAUUCAAACCACCAAGAGCAGACUAAGAACAAUGAAGACCAGUGAAUGAAGUAAUAUUUGACAACAAGUGAUGCAACUAUAGCAAGUACGCUGCCCGCAGAAUUCUCCGUACUCCACGACAAUAGAUGGCGAUAUGUCCGUGUGGUCGGAUCUUUCAACAAACCACUGAAGGAGAAUAAUAGA